This 511-nucleotide ribosomal RNA is filed under the name Vibrio anguillarum. RNAcentral describes it as "partial 16S ribosomal RNA". Lineage: Bacteria; Pseudomonadati; Pseudomonadota; Gammaproteobacteria; Vibrionales; Vibrionaceae. The record is from RNAcentral.
CACCGUAGCAUUCUGAUCUACGAUUACUAGCGAUUCCGACUUCAUGGAGUCGAGUUGCAGACUCCAAUCCGGACUACGACGCACUUUUUGGGAUUCGCUCACUAUCGCUAGCUUGCUGCCCUCUGUAUGCGCCAUUGUAGCACGUGUGUAGCCCUACUCGUAAGGGCCAUGAUGACUUGACGUCGUCCCCACCUUCCUCCGGUUUAUCACCGGCAGUCUCCCUGGAGUUCCCGACAUUACUCGCUGGCAAACAAGGAUAAGGGUUGCGCUCGUUGCGGGACUUAACCCAACAUUUCACAACACGAGCUGACGACAGCCAUGCAGCACCUGUCUCAGAGUUCCCGAAGGCACACCUGCGUCUCCGCUGGCUUCUCUGGAUGUCAAGAGUAGGUAAGGUUCUUCGCGUNUGCAUCGAAUUAAACCACAUGCUCCACCGCUUGUGCGGGCCCCCGUCAAUUCAUUUGAGUCUUAAUCUUGCGACCGUACUCCCCAGGCGGUCUACUUAACGCGU